GGGCCUGUGGCGCAGCUGGUAGCGCACCUCGUUCGCAACGAGGGGGUCAGGGGUUCGAGUCCCCUCAGGUCCA
Molecule: non-coding RNA, 73 nt
Organism: Streptomyces natalensis ATCC 27448
Lineage: Bacteria; Bacillati; Actinomycetota; Actinomycetes; Kitasatosporales; Streptomycetaceae
Source: Rfam